CAUGCGCACAUCAAUAAUACGUCAUUUUUGUCACGCUGAACAACACGCCCAUAAUAUUUUACUACUUGCGCGAGAUCUUUUUCAUUUGAGGUAAUGCAGAGGAGUACUGUGUGCUUUGCAGCAUGCUGGAGGACGACCCCAACGAAAGCAUGAUUGAAAAUUAUCAAUAUAAGCAAUACACACACCCAAAAAACAAUAGUUUAACUUUAUGUGCCAUGUUUGUUUGUUUUUUUUUGUAGAAUUUUGUUAUUUAAAUGAAAAGGUACAGUGUGAGAGCUGCAAUAGAUGGGCACAUUUUAAAUGUUGCAACUUCAGUAGCCUUAAUGUGUAUAAGUGCAAAAAGUGUGUAGUUGAGUGUAUGUGCCUUUAUCAUUUGCAAUGCUAACAGUCUUAGUCCAUAUUUAUAUUAAUAACUUAUUGUUUUACUUGUUUUGUAUUGUGCCUCUGUGUUGCAUGAUUUUGAAUUUUGAAAUGAAUUUGAUUAAAAAUCUCCUUUAUGUAUAUAUUCUAUCUGCUUGAUUAUAAAUGAUCUCAAUAACCAAUCUUAUUUCAAUUUACAUUAUCAUCUGGUUUAGAGUAAAUUUGUAACAUCUGUCCAGGGACUAUACAGAUUAAAAACUAAGACUCUCAAAUCAUCCUGUCUGUUUAUUUUUCCAGGACAAUCUGAUGAGGUAUUUUGCACCGUAAAAUCAUCCUACCUGUUUAUUUCAUACUGGUAGGACAAUUUGAUGAGGUAUUUUGCACUGUAAAAUCAUCCUACCCAUUUAUUUCAUACAGGUAGGACAAUUUGAUUAGGUAUUUUGCACUGUAAAAUCAUCCUACCCUUGUAUAUCAUACUGGUAGGGCAAUCUGAUGAGGCAUUUUGCAUCGUAAAAUCAUACUACUCGUUUAUUUC
Pimephales promelas (fathead minnow) is the source of this 895-nucleotide non-coding RNA. The record is from RefSeq and is a predicted model, not a curated record. NCBI's taxonomy places the organism in Eukaryota, Metazoa, Chordata, Actinopteri, Cypriniformes, Leuciscidae.